UGCAGAUGCACAUUCUCCCCACACUGCAGGUGACACCAGCUCCCAGGACACCUGUGCAGUAGGACCCCUACAACUCCCACCAGGAAGGUGUUAGGGGAAGAUGGAAAGGUCUACGUGCAGGCUCAAAGGCAGAGAGAGACUCAGAGUGGGAAACAGCUGCAGGCUGCCAAGUCACCCAGACAGCCUGCCCUCCAAGAUAUCUCCUCUGUACAGGCCUGUCGGAAGCCAUGCUCUACACAGCCAGACUCCAGAAUGGAGCAAGUUCAGGACCACCGGUGGAGGUCAAGAAAAAGGAGAAAAGGCAAGGUCCCUAUGUCCCUCCCAUCCCCAUUCCAACCACUGAUAGUCACUUUCA
Molecule: long non-coding RNA, 355 nt
Filed under: Rattus norvegicus (Norway rat)
Lineage: Eukaryota; Metazoa; Chordata; Mammalia; Rodentia; Muridae
Description: long non-coding RNA NONRATT033564
Source: RNAcentral